AGAGUUUGAUCCUGGCUCAGAACGAACGCUGGCGGCGUAGAUAAGACAUGCAAGUCGAACGGGACAGUUGCGAUUACAUCAAGGCUGUUCAGUGGCGGACGGGUGCGUAACACGUGAGCAACCUGCCCGGAAGAGGGGGAUAGCCCAGGGAAACUUGGAUUAAUACCCCGUGUGAUUAAAGGAGGCAUCUCCUGACUAUCAAAGGUGCUGCAAGGUGCCGCUUCCGGAUGGGCUCGCGGCCUAUCAGCUAGUUGGCGGGGUAACGGCCCACCAAGGCAACGACGGGUAGCUGGUCUGAGAGGACGACCAGCCACACUGGAACUGAGACACGGUCCAGACACCUACGGGUGGCAGCAGUCGAGAAUAAUUCACAAUGGGCGAAAGCCUGAUGGUGUGACGCCGCGUGGAGGAUGAAGGUCUUCGGAUUGUAAACUCCUGUCAUGUGGGAGUAAAUCCGGGCGAGUAACUGCGUCCCGGCUUGAGAGUACCACAAGAGGAAGAGACGGCUAACUCUGUGCCAGCAGCCGCGGGAAUACAGAGGUCACAAGCGUUGUUCGGAAUCACUGGGCGUAAAGGGUGCGUAGGCUGCAACGUAAGUCAGAUGUGAAAUCCCGGGGCUCAACCCCGGAAUUGCAUCCGAUACUGCGUUGCUUGAGGACUGGAGGGGAGUCUGGAAUUCAUGGUGGAGCAGUGAAAUGCGUAGAUAUCAUGAGGAACGCUAGUGGCGUAGGCGAGACUCUGGACAGUUCCUGACGCUGAGGCACGAAGGCCAGGGGAGCAAACGGGAUUAGAUACCCCGG
This 800-nucleotide ribosomal RNA is filed under the name uncultured bacterium. RNAcentral describes it as "bacterial SSU rRNA". It matches the Rfam family "Bacterial small subunit ribosomal RNA", at positions 8 to 790 of the family's 1533-position model. The record is from RNAcentral.